ACGGCUCAGUAACACGUAGUCAACCUAACUCGUGGACGUGGAUAACCUCGGGAAACUGAGAAUAAACCACGAUAGACCAUAGUGCCUGGAAUGGCUUAUGGUCCAAACAGUUUACUGCCAUGGGAUGGGACUGCGGCCUAUCAGCUUGUUGGUGAGGUAAUGGCCCACCAAGGCGAUUACAGGUACGGGCUCUGAGAGGAGAAGCCCGGAGAUGGGUACUGAGACACGGACCCAGGCCCUAUGGGGCGCAGCAGGCGAGAAACCUUAGCAAUGUGCGAAAGCACGACUGGGUCAGUCCGAGUGAUUCCUGAUAAAGGAGUCUUUUGCUUGUCCUAAAAGCACAGGUGAAUAAGGGGUGGGCAAGUCUGGUGUCAGCCGCCGCGGUAAUACCAGCACCUCGAGUGGUCAGGACGUUUAUUGGGCCUAAAGCAUCCGUAGCCGGCUUUGCAAGUCUUCGGUUAAAUCCACCUGCUUAACAGAUGGGCUGCUGGAGAUACUACAAAGCUAGGGAGUGGGAGAGGCAGACGGUAUUCAGUGGGUAGGGGUAAAAUCCUCUGAUCCAUUGAGGACCACCAGUGGCGAAGGCGGUCUGCCAGAACACGUUCGACGGUGAGGGAUGAAAGCUGGGGGAGCAAACCGGAUUAGAUACCCGGGUAGUCCCAGCUGUAAACGAUGCAAACUCGGUGAUGCAUUGGCUUAUGGCCAAUGCAGUGCCGCAGGGAAGCCGUUAAGUUUGCCGCCUGGGAAGUACGGACGCAAGUCUGAAACUUAAAGGAAUUGGCGGGGGAG
Molecule: ribosomal RNA, 789 nt
Filed under: uncultured archaeon
Lineage: Archaea
Description: bacterial SSU rRNA
Rfam family: Archaeal small subunit ribosomal RNA
Source: RNAcentral